This 477-nucleotide ribosomal RNA is filed under the name Providencia vermicola. RNAcentral's name for it is "bacterial SSU rRNA". It matches the Rfam family "Bacterial small subunit ribosomal RNA", at positions 56 to 524 of the family's 1533-position model. The record is from RNAcentral. Lineage: Bacteria; Pseudomonadati; Pseudomonadota; Gammaproteobacteria; Enterobacterales; Morganellaceae.
UGCAAGUCGAGCGGUAACAGGGGAAGCUUGCUUCUCGCUGACGAGCGGCGGACGGGUGAGUAAUGUAUGGGGAUCUGCCCGAUAGAGGGGGAUAACCACUGGAAACGGUGGCUAAUACCGCAUAAUCUCUUAGGAGCAAAGCAGGGGAACUUCGGUCCUUGCGCUAUCGGAUGAACCCAUAUGGGAUUAGCUAGUAGGUGGGGUAAUGGCUCACCUAGGCGACGAUCCCUAGCUGGUCUGAGAGGAUGAUCAGCCACACUGGGACUGAGACACGGCCCAGACUCCUACGGGAGGCAGCAGUGGGGAAUAUUGCACAAUGGGCGCAAGCCUGAUGCAGCCAUGCCGCGUGUAUGAAGAAGGCCCUAGGGUUGUAAAGUACUUUCAGUCGGGAGGAAGGCGUUGAUGCUAAUAUCAUCAACGAUUGACGUUACCGACAGAAGAAGCACCGGCUAACUCCGUGCCAGCAGCCGCGGUAAU